Molecule: ribosomal RNA, 2029 nt
Filed under: Howella gorgoniarum
Lineage: Eukaryota; Rhodophyta; Florideophyceae; Halymeniales; Halymeniaceae
Description: partial 28S ribosomal RNA
Rfam family: Eukaryotic large subunit ribosomal RNA
Source: RNAcentral
CGGAGGAAAAGAAACUAACAAGGAUUCCCUCAGUAGCGGCGAGCGAAGCGGGAAGAGCCCAAAAUGAAAAGCCAGCUUGCUGGCGUUGUAGUUGAGCGUCUUUGGGGUGUCAGUUCGGGAAAGUGGCAUGGAAAUGUGCGCCGAGGAGGGUGAUAGCCCCGUCCAUCCCGUUCAGGACACUUCGCACUAAGGCGUUUCAGACGAGUCGGGUAGCUUGGGAAUGCUGCUCUAAUUGGUGGUAAAUCUCAUCAAAGGCUAAAUAACGGUGGGAGACCGAUAGCGAACAAGUACCGUGAGGGAAAGAUGAAAAGCACUUUGAAAAGAGGGUAAAAAGAACCUGAAACCGUUACGGGGGAAGCGGAUUGCGUUGGCCUGGUGGCUACUUGUGUGUUCAGCCUUUAUGGUGCAUUGAUGCAGGUGGUUAUCUGUCGUGGCUUUUUAGCGGCUGAUAUUGAGUUGCUGAAGGGUGAGGGCUCCCCUUUUUUUAGGGUGAGGACGAUGGAGUGAUGACGCGAUACGACCCGUCUUGAAACACGGACCAAGGAGUCUAGCGCGGGUGCGAGUCAAAGGGUGCAAAAACCCGUGGGCGAAGUGAAAGCGAGUUUUUUUUACAAAACGAGCAGUUUGGGGCGGCAUGGAAUCGUUGAUUCCAGGUCUGACCUUGAGCAGUUGCGCUGGGACCCGAAAGAUGGUGAACUAUGCCGGAGUAGGGCGAAGCCAGAAGAAAUUCUGGUGGAGGCUCGUAGCGGUGCUGACGUGCAAAUCGCUCGUCGAACUUGGGUAUAGGGGCGAAAGACUAAUCGAACCAUCUAGUAGCUGGUUUCCUCCGAAGUUUCUCUCAGGAUAGCAGGCCGACAUACGUUGUUUUGUGCGGUAAAGCGAAUGAUUAGCGCAUUCGGGGGCGUUUAGCCUUCGGGCGAUUCUCAAACUUUAAAUGCGCAAGGGUACCGGUGCUUUGUUGAGCGGUACCGGUAAAAACGUCGGCCUUGUGGGCCACUUUUGGUAAGCAGAACUGGCGAUACGGGAUGAACCGUAAGCAUGGUUAAGGUGCCAAACUGCCCGCUUAUAGAUCCCACAAAAGGUGUUGAUUCAUCGAGACAGCAGGACGGUGGCCAUGGAAGUCGGAAUCCGCCAAGGAGUGUGUAACAACUCACCUGCCGAAUGAAUUAGCCCUGAAAAUGGAUGGCGCUUAAGCGGGCGACCGACACCAUGCCGUCUGUAAAAGAAAUCAGAUGAGUAGGAGGACGUGGCGGCCGUGUCGAAGCAUGCGUGCAGACGCGUGUGGAACAGCCGCUAGUGCAGAUCUUGGUGGUAGUAGCAAAUAUUCAAGCGAGAUCCUUGAAGGGCGAAGCGGGGAAGGGUUCCACGCAAACAUUGAUUGGGCGUGGGUGAGUCGUUCCUAAGCCGAGUGGCAAUUGCUAAGUAGCGGCGAAAGGGAAGCAGGUUGACAUUCCUGCACACGGAUGUGGAGGCGGUGACGCUUUAAUGAGGGCGAACACGCCGGCGAUGGCGCUGGGCAGAGUUUUCUUUUCUGUUUGACCGCUGAAGCACGCGGUGUGGAAUCCGCUUGUCGGGAGAAACACGCGUGCUCGGGCAGAGCGCCGGGCCUAUUCCGGCGUCCAGCUCGCCAUCGACGGCCCUUGAAACUUUGCCUGCUGGAAUUUUUUUUAUUAAGAUCCACGCCGUGGCGUACCGAUCACCGCAUCAGGUCCCCAAGGUGAACAGCCUCUGCUCGAUAUGAACAAUGCAGGUAAGGGAAGUCGGCAAAUUGGACCCGUAACUUUGGGAAAAGGGUUGGCUCUAGUGCUGCGUGGGAGUGGUUGUCGGGUGUUGGCGUUUUUGGAUUUGCUGAACGAGCGCGAUGAGCCCUUUCGGGGGUUUUUUUAUUGUGUUUAAUUGGCGAGUCUGGAUCCGCCACGCUCGACGACGCCCACAGCAUGCAGCAGACUAGAACUGCAACGGGCAAAGGGAAUCCGACUGUUUAAUUAAAACAAAGCAUUGCGAGGGCCGUGGCCGGUGAUGACGCAAU